UGUCUUUUGGUCCUCUCUCUCCUCUCAUUGUCUCUCUCUCCCCUCAUCUUUUUGAUUGUCGUCUUCAAUCUCAACCACUCUAGAAAUCCUUCAGGCUCAGAGAAUUUGCACUAUAUUUCUUCUUUAUCAAACCAGAUUAUCCUUCUGGGAUUUGGCAAAUCAUAUUUAGCAAAGGGUAAAGGAACAACGACCUUUAGUAAAAGAAGAAAUAAGACCACAUACUCUCUGUGAGUUGUGGUUGCCGUAGAGUCCAUGCGUAGAGAGUCAUUCGCCGCUCACUGCUUCAAUUGGACUUGUAAGUUUUCCACUAAUUACUCUACUUCAUGAAAUUUUCUUUUGAAUUUUUUAUUUUAAUUUGUGUCAAUCCAAUGUUUUCGAUCUUGGUCUUGUCUAAUGUGUAUUAAAUAACUGGAGUGCGAAGCAAAUCAGGCAAAAAACUACUAAUGCAUGAGGUCUGAAAGCUUCAUUUUCAUCUUACUUACAUACUCCCUGUGAAUGACUAGAAAUACACCAAAAGCUCAGGUAAACUUUAUGUAUUAAUUAAACUCUUGUUAUUGUGCUACGAACCAAAUUGAUUAUUGUUGGUUUUUUGGGGCAUAAACUAAAAAACAACACCUUAGUGUUGCCAAAAAAGCUUAUAAGAGACUUGUGUUGAAGGUGAAAAAUGAGCUUGUAGUUCUACAUUCAUCAACUCACUAUUUAUAGUGAUUACAUGAAACAAACUAGCAAAAUAUCCAACUAAUAAUUAUCCUAGAAAUCUCAACAAAAUAUAAUCUCCUUCUACUAGCAAAUCUUAUCUAAAAUAUCUAUUAACAAACCAACAUGAUCUUUUGUUAACAAAUAUCCUUAUUUUUUAAUAACUAAUUUUUGAUAUCAAACUCAAUUUGAUAAAAUCUGUAGGAAAAGCUGGCAUAUCUCAACACUCCUCCUUGCCACUUUUGCUGCAGAUUUUUAAUUUUCUUCUCAAAUCUUUGAACCUUGUUUUGGACAAGGCUUUCAUAAAAAUGUCUGCAAUCUGGUCUUCAGUCUUGCAAUGUUUCUUGAGACAACCUUCAAAACCAAUAUCAAAUUUUUUGAUGUAUUCAAAUGACUUCUUUGCAACUUGAAAGUGAAACUCCCAUACGCAAUAGAUGAACCUGAAAAAGAAAUUCGCAAUACAAAAAAAGAUUGCUAUGAGAGACAUAAAACAAUCAUUCAAAUUUUUGUAUGGCCUUUCAUCAGCUUUGUCACUACCAUCAUCCUUGGGUAACUUUUCAUGAAUUUUCACAAUGUAGCCUCCUUCAAUUGUCUCAUCAAUGAUCUCCUCCUGAAUUUUAGCAUCAUCUAAAUUUUUUGGUUCAUAAUACUGCACCUUAGAAUUGUCAAUUUCUGACAAAUUCAAAGCAAAAUUUUUGCCUCUCAUUUUCACUGAGAAAAGUUCAUUCCCAACUGGAUCAUGUAUAACACAAGUCCUGUUUUUGAAGAUGACAGAAUAAUUCUUCUCCAAUAACUGUCCAACACUCAAUAGAUUUUGAUUAAUUUCAGGCACAUACAAAACAUCAGAAAUAAUUUUGGUACCUGAACCAUAAUCAAUAGCAACACUACCUUUGCCUUUCACCUCAAUAUAAUCUCCAUUUCCAAUUCUGACUUUGGAGAUUUGCGAUUUAUCAAGUUUCCUAAAUAUAGAUUCAUCAUAAGCCAUGUGAUGAGUGCAACCACUGUCUAUUAGCCAAGUUUCAGUACUGAAAUUAUUGCUUGCAAAACAAGUGGCUACGAAAAGUUGCUCCUCAUCUUGUUCAUCAACCAUCUGAGCAUGAUGUUCUCUUUUUCCUUUAUUUUUGCAAACUCUCUCCAUAUGUCCCAUUUGCUUACAAAACCUACAUUGAACGUCAGGUCUAAACCAACAAAAUAUUGAAAGAUGUGAGGUUUUCUUACAGUGUGGACACGGAGGAUUUCUGCCAUUUUUCUUCUCAUCUUUGCUAAAUUUUUUUUGAUCAUUUCUCUCACCUUGUCGAAUUUGAUCCUCAUUUGUUGCUUGAAAAGCACCUUCAACGACUUCUUCAGUUCUUAUGGCUCGUCUUUGUUCUUGUGCCUCUAAAGCAUUGAUCAAUUCUGGCAAGGUCAUCUGAGAUAGAUCCCUUGAAUCUUCAAGAGAGGAAAUCUUGGCUUCAAACCUUUCUGGUAAACUCACCAAGACUUUCUCCACAACUCUGCUAUCUGGAAGUUGUUCUCCAAUCAAUCUGAUUUUGUUCACAACAUUUAAGAGUCUGUCAGAGUACUCUUUAAUGUUUUCUUUGUCUUUCAUCCUAAGGAGUUCAAAUUCUCUCCUAAGGUUCAAAAGUUGCAUCUGUCUUGUUCUGUCAUUGCUUUGAAAAGCCACUUUGAGAGUAUCCCAAGCUUCUUUUGCAGUUUCACAAGUCAUAAUUUUUGUGAAUACUGCAUCGGAAACUGCUGAAUGAAUGCAAGUCAUGGCUUUUGAUCUCCUUUUGACUGCAUCCCUAUGGGCUCUCAUCUCUGCAAUAGUUGGAUCUUCUGACAAUUCAGGAACAGGAUCUAUCUCUACUACAUCCCAAAGAUCAUUAGCAUCCAAAUAGGACUUCAUUUUGACAGCCCAGAUUUGGUAGUUUUCACCAGUGAAAUUUGGAGGAUUGGACAAGAAGUUGUUUCCUGGCAUUUUGAUUUUGAAGGCUUAAGUGUAUAAUUUUAUAGUGAAAAGGGUUUCUCACCAAGUUCACUCACUCUCAAAAACAAAACUCAGGCCCUUAAGAUAUAGGCUCUUGAUACCACUUUGUUGGUUUUUUGGGGCAUAAACUAAAAAACAACACCUUAGUGUUGCAAAAAAAAGCUUAUAAGAGACUUGUGUUGAAGGUGGAAAAUGAGCUUGUAGUUCUACAUUCAUCAACUCACUAUUUAUAGUGAUUACAUGAAACAAACUAGCAAAAUAUCCAACUAACAAUUAUCCUAGAAAUCUCAACAAAAUAUAAUCUCCUUCUACUAACAAAUCUUAUCUAAAAUAUCUGUUAACAAACCAACGUGAUCUUUUGUUAACAAAUAUCCUUAUUUUUCUAAUAACUAAUUUUUGAUAUCAAACUCAAUUUGAUAAAAUCUGUAGGAAAAGCUGGCAUAUCUCAACAAUUAUUUAACGACUAUUUCCGGUACUUGUUGACUAUGUACUCUAUUGCUUUGUUCUGUCUCACAGACCAAUUCGUCUAGUCAAUGAUUGCUUUUUACUGAUGACAUCUGUUUUGUAUGCUGAGUAGUUUUUUUUGGCAAGCUUGGGGGUACGGAAUGCUGAUAUACAUAUAUGAUUUUAGUUCUGAUUUUGGAAGCACCAAUUGAAUGGUCGCUAGAGCUCGUGCAUCGUAAAUUCUUGUCCUACUUGCCAUGCAUGUUUCUAGAAUUAAACGCAACUUCAUGCUUGAGGAAAUUGAGAUUUUCUUUACUUGGGAAUUUGAUGGUCGGUAGGAAAUUGGGGUUCUUGAAAUAUGUUUAAACAACUUACAGUAUGAAGUUUUCAACGGUAUGUUGAUUUAAAUAUUGCUAAGGGUGUGCAUUCUUAUCGAUUUACAUUUCACAUUUAUGCAAAAUGUGAUUUCUGCGGGUUUCACCUCGGCUUUGUUCAUUUGUCAAUCUCACAUUUUUGCUUAGAGUAGAGGUUGUAUGUGACUAGAGCUGCUUUAGUUUUCUGUGCUUGCUUUAGAAAUUCAAAUACAACUACCUACCAUCUUCUUGUGUGAUUUAAUCAAGUUGAAUGUUGAAGACGGAUCUAGGAGCACAAAUUGAAACAAUUAGCUUAACAUGUGAACCUCUGAGUUCUGGAUUUCAAUGGCUGAAAGUCUACGGCAAAAGGUGGAGCCUGCCUACAAGUGAAGUUAGUUUACAACCACUUAGCGCCUCUCUUUAAUUUCUACUUCCAAGUUGCCUAAAUCUUUUCCAGAUACUUCAUAAAUCAUUUUUGUUUUGUUAAAAAUUGCCAAACAAACAAGUAGGAAGCCAAGAACAUUUGGCAAUAAAACCAGUGAUCUACAUUGAUGACUGAAGAGGUUAUUUUUGAAGUCAGCAGACUUCCCCUAGGGGCGGGAGUAACUCUCCUGAAGUGGGUACAGCCUCACAGAAAUCACCUGCUCAAAGUGUCAGAGAUGGGGUAUAAUCCCCUGUUUUACCUCCGACGAUCUAGUUAGCUUAGGUUAGGAGAAAGUAUUGAAAAAGCUUGUGAGCGAUAUACCUUGUAAAACCUAGCUCCCAGAAAAGAAAAAGAACCCCCCUUCAGUGUAGCUUCCUUGUAUUUAUAGGAAACGGUCGGAGAGAAAUGGCAGUUGGGACCAACUUCCCAUGCCCUGACAGACUGGGCAUGUCAGCCUAUCUCAUCAGGUCUGUCAGGCAGGUCCCAUCAACUAUCUUGCCCUUAGUAAGUGACAGACUGUGAUUGGACCCCAGUUGUCCCAUCAGGUAUGAUGGGGCUUGACGACAAAUACCUCGGUAGCCAAGAUGCACAAGAUGAUGGAGGAGUCGUGACAAGGCUCAUCUCGGCAAAUCGACACUUGAUCAUAGAAAAGGAUGGAUGAGUCGUUCUGAAAGGAGCCGGAGCGUGGAGUCCUAGCCGAAACCACCACCCUCAAUGACCAACCAUGCAAUUGAGGGUGCUUAGGUGUACUGAUUAAAACUUUUGCAAGGUUUUGUAGCAAUUGUAUAUUGGAUUUUUAGUUGCAUUUAUUGUGAUGCUACCCGUAUUUUAAAGUCUCCUCAUUUUUUGGUAACUAUAGAGCAGGAAAAUAAAGGGCAACGAAAAGAAUGUUACUUGACCUUGUGAUCUCAAGACAAUAACGUAUUGUAACUACUCAACGUUGUGGAUUUGGUAAUGGAGUAUCACGGGCAGACUAAAUCAAG
Molecule: long non-coding RNA, 4866 nt
Filed under: Coffea arabica (coffee)
Lineage: Eukaryota; Viridiplantae; Streptophyta; Magnoliopsida; Gentianales; Rubiaceae
Description: long non-coding RNA (CARA_LNC005089)
Source: RNAcentral